UUUUUUUUUUUUUUUUUAAGACAGGGUCUUGCUGUAUCACCGAGGCUAGAGUACAGUGGCACAAUCUGGGCUCUCUGCAGCUUUGACUGCCUGGGCUUAAGCAAUCUUCCCACCUCAGUAGCUGGGACCACAGGCAUGUACCACCAUGCCCAGCUAAUUUUUAAAAUUAUUUACGGAGACAAGGUCUUGUUAUGUUGCCCAGACCAGUCUUGAACUCCUGGGCUUAAGCGAUCCUCCUACCCUGGCUUCUAAAAGUGCCAGGAUUACAGAUGUAAACUACUGGGCCCAGCCCUAAUUUACAUGUUUUAAAGCACCUGGAAAUCUUAUCUUCUUAUUAGAUACUGUUGUAUGAGGAUUUCUAUAAUGUUGGGAACCUAGAGAUACAGACCAAAACAACAUUCAAUUUGUAUAUGAGGUUGGGAUAAAAUAAACCAAGGCUCGGGAAAAGCUCAAGAUAUUCAGAAAAGAUAAGCAGGAUGAGCCCAGAUUGUACUUCUACAAGGGAAGGUGCAGACUUCUAUUGGCACCAUAUCUACUAAGUUAUCAAUGAAACACACAGGUGUAAAAGUUCUAGACCUAAAAUGAAAACCAGCCUCUGGAAAGUGGUAAAUUUGCCAAUUUGGACAUAUCUUGGAAAGGCUAAGUAAAUCACCUUGUCCAGUGCCCUGCUUAUUAGUUAAGAUACAUGCAAAUCAUUUCAGUAUGGGGGAUCAAUCAUAUCACCAUCAUCAUCAUCAUCAUCAUAUCACCAUCAUCACGAUCAUCAUCAUCAUCAUCAUCAUGAACAUGUGGCAGCACUAGGCCAAAAGAACAGAGGCCUAGUCUCCUCUCCUUCCAGGCUCCGGGCUCUAGCCAGACCACCUCUCAUUGAGCAGAUACUAAGGAAAGAUAGUUCUGAAAUUGUAAUCCCUUCCAAAUACUCUAACCAUGAUAGUUUACCUCUUAUCUAACCAGGCAAAUGCUGUGACUCUCUUUAUGCUGUUUGAAGCUUAUAUCAGCAAGACACUGGAGCCAAAGCCAGUCUUAAGCAGUGACAAUACUUCAAUGUUUAUUCCAUGCCCUAUUUCCUCACAAUCACUUAGACAAUCAUACAGUGUUACAAAAUGC
RNAcentral lists this long non-coding RNA (1107 nucleotides) under Macaca fascicularis (crab-eating macaque). RNAcentral describes it as "lncRNA (ENSMFAG00000061667.1)". The record is from RNAcentral. Lineage: Eukaryota; Metazoa; Chordata; Mammalia; Primates; Cercopithecidae.